AUCCUGGCUCAGGAUGAACGCUGGCGGUAUGCUUAACACAUGCAAGUCGAACGGUCUCUUCGGAGAUAGUGGCGGACGGGUGAGUAACGCGUGAGAAUCUGGCUUCAGGUCGGGGACAACCACUGGAAACGGUGGCUAAUACCGGAUAUGCCGAGAGGUGAAAGGCUUGCCGCCUGAAGAUGAGCUCGCGUCUGAUUAGCUAGUAGGUGUGGUAAAGGCGCACCUAGGCGACGAUCAGUAGCUGGUCUGAGAGGAUGAUCAGCCACACUGGGACUGAGACACGGCCCAGACUCCUACGGGAGGCAGCAGUGGGGAAUUUUCCGCAAUGGGCGAAAGCCUGACGGAGCAAUACCGCGUGAGGGAGGAAGGCUCUUGGGUUGUAAACCUCUUUUCUCAGGGAAGAAAAAAAUGACGGUACCUGAGGAAUAAGCAUCGGCUAACUCCGUGCCAGCAGCCGCGGUAAUACGGAGGAUGCAAGCGUUAUCCGGAAUGAUUGGGCGUAAAGGGUCCGCAGGUGGCUAUGUAAGUCUGCUGUUAAAGAACUUAGCUUAACUAGGUAAAAGCAGUGGAAACUACAAGGCUAGAGUGCGUUCGGGGUAGAGGGAAUUCCUGGUGUAGCGGUGAAAUGCGUAGAUAUCAGGAAGAACACCAGUGGCGAAGGCGCUCUACUAGGCCGCAACUGACACUGAGGGACGAAAGCUAGGGGAGCGAAUGGGAUUAGAUACCCCAGUAGUCCUAGCCGUAAACGAUGAUGGAUACUAGGCGUGGCUUUGUAUCGACCCGAGCCGUGCCCGGAGCUAACGCGUUAAGUAUCCCGCCUGGGGAGUACGCAGGCAACUGUGAAACUCAAAGGAAUUGACGGGGGCCCGCACAAGCGGUGGAGUAUGUGGUUUAAUUCGAUGCAACGCGAAGAACCUUACCAAGACUUGACAUGUCGCGAAUCUUUCUGAAAGGAGAGAGUGCCUUCGGGAGCGCGAACACAGGUGUGUGCAUGGCUGUCGUCAGCUCCCCUCGUGAGAAAAAAAGAAUAAGUCCCGCAACGAGCGCAACCCUCGUUUUUAGUUGCCAGCAUUAAGUUGGGCACUCUAGAGAGACUGCCGGUGACAAACCGGAGGAAGGUGGGGAUGACGUCAAGUCAGCAUGCCCCUUACGUCUUGGGCUACACACGUACUACAAUGCUACGGACAAAGGGUAGCUACACAGCAAUGUGAUGCCAAUCUCAGAAACCGUAGCUCAGUUCAGAUCGCAGGCUGCAACUCGCCUGCGUGAAGGAGGAAUCGCUAGUAAUUGCAGGUCAGCAUACUGCAGUGAAUUCGUUCCCGGGCCUUGUACACACCGCCCGUCACACCAUGGAAGCUGGUCACGCCCGAAGUCGUUACCCCAACUUUUCGGAGAGGGGGAUGCCGAAGGCAGGA
Molecule: ribosomal RNA, 1415 nt
Filed under: Nodularia sphaerocarpa LEGE06071
Lineage: Bacteria; Bacillati; Cyanobacteriota; Cyanophyceae; Nostocales; Nodulariaceae
Description: bacterial SSU rRNA
Rfam family: Bacterial small subunit ribosomal RNA
Source: RNAcentral